Molecule: ribosomal RNA, 562 nt
Filed under: Dothideomycetes sp.
Lineage: Eukaryota; Fungi; Ascomycota; Dothideomycetes
Description: eukaryotic LSU rRNA
Rfam family: 5.8S ribosomal RNA (bases 194-347)
Source: RNAcentral
UGCGGAAGGAUCAUUAAAGAGUAAGGGUUAUUCGUAGCCCGACCUCCAACCCUUUGUUGUUAUAACUACCUCGUUGCUUUGGCGGGACCGCUCGGUCUCGAGCUGCCGGUCUUCGGCCCGGCAAGUGCCCGCCAGAGUCUACUCAAACUCUUGUUUUAACCGGUCGUCUGAGUUAAACUUUUAAUUAAAUUAAAACUUUCAACAACGGAUCUCUUGGUUCUCGCAUCGAUGAAGAACGCAGCGAAAUGCGAUAAGUAAUGUGAAUUGCAGAAUUCAGUGAAUCAUCGAAUCUUUGAACGCACAUUGCGCUCCCUGGUAUUCCGGGGAGCAUGCCUGUUCGAGCGUCAUUACACCACUCAAGCACUGCUUGGUAUUAGGCCAUCGUCCCCCGCAAGGUGGGCGUGCCUCAAACACCUCGGCGGAGCCUCACCGGCUUUGGGCGUAGUAGAAUUUCUCAACGUCUUGCAAGUACCGGUCUGACUCCUUUGCCGUUAAACCACCAAUCUUUUACAGGUUGACCUCGGAUCAGGUAGGGAUACCCGCUGAACUUAAGCAUAUCAAU